GGAAAAUACAUUCUCCUGGGGAGAGGAAUCCCAGAAAUUCCUCCUUGCGCUGGAAACGAUCACUCGUUUCUUGUUUUCCAGAUUUCUCCUUGUUUUGUCUGCAAGUUGCUGCACGCCUUUACUGGAGCACGGCACAGCUACAUUCUCCAGCUCAUGGUCUGUGGAUGAGUUCCCGUCUCUUUGCCCGGGCACGUUGUUUUGUACAAAGAGGUGGCAAACCUGAGGCUGCCUCUGUUGCGAUGGUGUCACAUUUUUAAAUGCUGCAGUGCUCCUCCUGAUCGCCUUCCUCAGAGGAGUUAGCAGAGACACUUCCUGCGCUACGGGGCAGCGUUUCUUCUGGCUCUCCCCAAGACACUGAGUGUUAGCACAGCACAUACAGGGAUGGGUAGCAUGGCUCUGAGGUUCCGGAACAGAUCUCACCUCCUGCACAGAAGUAUUUUCUCUGCCACACACCACUUGAGCAACGGGGCUGACUUGAGCAACGGAGCUGCCUCCAGAAGCUGUGCUGAGGUCCUUCCCAGGUGUCCCGUCCCCGGUGGGCUGGCUCCCCACGGGCAGGGCUCCGUGCUGAGACGGACCCGAGGAGCUGCAACCCCCCCUGCCCCGGCAGCACGGCCAGUGCUCGGUCUCCUGACGUGAGGCACAGCCCUGGCAUGUGCCAGGGGAGGUCUGAGAAGAGUCGUCCACCAUCCGAGGGGGGGCUCUGGCGCUGGACAUGAAUGUCUGCAGCUCAGCUAAGGCACUAGGGAGCUUCAGGGAGCCUAAUUCUUCACACAGCUUCAGGUGCUGAUCGCUCAGCUGAGCCGGCAGCGACUCCAGGCUCUCCUUCAGCUGCUGGACACUGCAUUUCACAUCUGAAAUCUCCAUGUCUUUCUGGGGAAGCAGGGAGCAGAGCAGAAGCAGUAAACAACACAUUAAAAGGUACAAUAAUAGGACUCACAGAAGAAACUUUUGGUUCUAUGCAUUAGUUAGAUGCCUUACAUUGGGUACCAGCCCAAAGAUUAGCAAUUUGUGUCCCCCUGUGCAAUACGCAUCUCAGACUGUCCCACAACAAUGGGAACUUUGGGACUGGGGGACUUGGGUUGCCCUCUCACAUCACAUCCUUGCCAAAAGCAAUUCCCCCAGCAGGGUCUUUGAAAAAAACACACCACUCUGGGAGGCCUGGAGUUCGCUCUUUUGUCUCUGCCUCCCACU
Anas platyrhynchos (mallard) is the source of this 1194-nucleotide long non-coding RNA. RefSeq lists it as uncharacterized. Lineage: Eukaryota; Metazoa; Chordata; Aves; Anseriformes; Anatidae. The record is from RefSeq and is a predicted model, not a curated record.